Long non-coding RNA from Salmo salar (Atlantic salmon), 2050 nucleotides. RefSeq lists it as uncharacterized. NCBI's taxonomy places the organism in Eukaryota, Metazoa, Chordata, Actinopteri, Salmoniformes, Salmonidae. The record is from RefSeq and is a predicted model, not a curated record.
ACACACUGACGCACGUACGCGCACGCACACACGCACACACACACUACUUAUACUUACUGUUAUACUUGUGAGUGGAAAGAGAGGGAGGGGGACAAGAAAGUCCUUAUGCCGCAACUGUGUAGAGAAGCGGAAGGAUUCAGGGCAAACAACAGCAAAACAUCAACAGCUGAGCUGACUAUCUCACAUUCCUUUCCUUUUCUGUGUAAUCUCCAACUAGGACUGGACAAUGACCGCAUGCAGGGGAAAAAACACUUCCCAUAUUCUGAAAAGUGCGCAAGGCUGAAUAUGAAAAUACAAAACAGUACUCAACGCAUUACGGUCGCAGUACUCUGUCCCAAACUUUGUGAUGGAUUACUAUGCAAAAAUGCGGAAAAUUUAUGAAACACACACACAACAAAGAGUCGGACGAAAGCUCUGGAGCGAGGGAUUGACAGAGAGAGAAAAGAAGAAGAGAAGCGUGGCGGCGAUUUGGCAGCUGCCCGGUGCCCAGCUGCAUUGGAAAACUCCUGCCGCCUUUCCCUUUGCGGUGGUUCCCUCCCGGAGCGGUUUGUUUGGGGGACUGGUGUCCUGGGUGGGUGUCUGGCUACGUUCCCCUGUGGCAGGGCUGGCUGCUGGGGCUGGAACUGUGGCUGUACCCCCUGGGGAGCUGAGGAAUGGAGGUCUGGCCAGAGAACCAGAGACAGUAUCCAUAGAAGCCAAUGAGAGGAAGAGAGCAGCCUCGCAUGAUCAUUAGCUCCACUUCUGGACUAUGCUGUACUCUAGAGGCUGUGGACUGAGGAGAGACUGAGAGAGAGAGACGAGUGGAGGCAGGGUUAUGAGAGGCCACCAGAGAAGAGACGUCGCCUCAGCAGGAGGGUUGACAGACAUGUCACAAGAACAGAUCCUUACCAGAUCAUCUCAUGAACUAAUCAUCUAUAUUCAUAUUCAACUAAUCAUCACCUGCAGAUGAGCCUGGUGUGGUGGAGGUUUCUGAGGAGCCAGGUCCUAUUUCAAAGACCUUCCAUGAUGCCCAAACACAGUGGUCAGACCCAGCAAUGGAGGACCACACCUAUUCCAAAGAACCUAUCAUCACAUGCGGCAUGAUAACUGCACCAGCCCCUGAGAGGUCACUGUCUGUUGUAGAUGUUACAUUGAAAGAUGAUGCAGACUGUCUGCUGCACACAGGGAUUCCACUACAGAUGUUACAUUGAAAGAUGAUGCAGACUGUCUGCUGUACACAGGAAUUCCACUACAAGGAUUCAACACUCUUGUGUCUUGCUUACAAGGUUUUGCCCCCACAUCAUCAACAAUGCCGGUUGUAGGCCAAAUUCUGUUGACACUAAUGAAACUUAUACAGAACUUUGUUAUAGCUGAUAUAGCAAGACGCUUCAAAAGGUCACCCGGACAGGUCAGUAAAACACUGAAAUCCUGGAUAGAUUGCUGAGCACACCAAGGAUCUCAUUCCAUGGCUGCCUCGUGAGACGAUUAAGGCUACUAUGCCACAGGUUUUUCGGGAGACUUUUUCAAACACAAAUUGUUUUAUUGACUGCACAGAAAGUAUUUUGCAAAAGACUAAAAAUCUGGACUCAAGAACUGAAUCUCACAGUCACUACUAUGCCAGUAAUACUGUAAAAUAUCUAGUAGCAACUGGUCCAUCAGGAAUGGUUGUGUUCAUUUCAGAGGCUUAUGGUGGGAAAUGUAGCGAUAGGUUCAUAACACAGAACUCAUGGUUUCUCGACCAUUUGCGUGCUGGAGAUGAGGUGAUGGGGGACCGUGGAUUCACAAUUAGGGACUUGCUAGAGGAACGGAAUGUACGCUUGGUCUUACCAGCAUUUACACUCAAGCAAUGCCAGUUGACAAAUGAGCAGGUCACUCGCACACGACGCAUUGCUAAUGUCUGUAUUCAUGUGGAAGGAGCAAUAAGGCGUCUUAAUGUGUACAAGAUUAUCUCACAAACUGUGCCUAAUAGUUUGUUCCCUAAAAUUGACAACAUACUUCAAAUGUGUACAGCUCUUGUAAAUCUGAGAGGAGAGCUAAUUUCUAGCAAAUAGACACAACUUCUUCAGCUGUU